RNAcentral lists this long non-coding RNA (202 nucleotides) under Capsicum annuum. Its description in RNAcentral is "long non-coding RNA (CANN_LNC013684)". The record is from RNAcentral. Lineage: Eukaryota; Viridiplantae; Streptophyta; Magnoliopsida; Solanales; Solanaceae.
AUAUAGUCGGGUAUGCAGAAUCUGUAUAUUACACCACCAACUUCAACUUGAGUUCAACUAUAAAGAAGAACACAAUGAAGUAUAUCAAAUAUCCGACUAUAUUGUGGGAAAUAAUAAUCUUAAGGAAAUAAUCCCCCUCACCCGAGGUUGUGGAAUUUUUCCUCCCAAGAUAAAAUGGCUAACCAGACCAACUGUAGCGGUA